CUCUCUCGCAGCGGAACCAUGGUCGACCUCUGACUCUCGCACUGAAAUCUAGAUUAGAGGAAAGAUGGUUUAUUCUGAGGAAGGGAAAUCACUAUUAGAUUGCACAAUAGGCCUAGAUCCACAUGUAAAUUCAAUGAUCUACUUAUUAGAUUUUAAAAAUGUUGGCUAAUGAGUUUAAAAGUGUCGAAAUAAAAGGCGUUCGGCCAACAAUUUUCAUCUGGUUUUAUAUUGAUUUCAGAGUCGAAGAAUCCAAUGCAAUCCGUUGUUGGAGGGGGUCGGGAAGGAGCUGUUUGUGUCUUAAAGACUUAGAUCUAAUUUGAGAAGGUUAGUUUUGUAAUCACACUCUCGACACUGCCUCUGAACGUUGGAAAUUUUGGAAAGGGGAUCGAGAAUGCAAAGAAAAA
Molecule: long non-coding RNA, 404 nt
Organism: Aplysia californica (California sea hare)
Lineage: Eukaryota; Metazoa; Mollusca; Gastropoda; Aplysiida; Aplysiidae
Exons: 2
Source: RefSeq, a predicted model, not a curated record